GACAUAGGGUGCAAACGUUGCUCGGAAUUACUGGGCGUAAAGCGCGUGUAGGUGGAUUGGUGUGUCAGAUGUGAAAGCCCUGGGCUCAACCCAGGAACUGCACCUGAAACUACCAGUCUUGAGUGGUGGAGAGGGAAGUGGAAUUCCUGGUGUAGAGGUGAAAUUCGUAGAGAUCGGGAGGAACACCUGUGGCGAAGGCGGCCCCCUGGGCCGGCCCUGACACUGAGACGCGAAGGCGUGGGGAGCGAACGGG
RNAcentral lists this ribosomal RNA (253 nucleotides) under uncultured bacterium. RNAcentral's name for it is "partial 16S ribosomal RNA". It matches the Rfam family "Bacterial small subunit ribosomal RNA", at positions 524 to 776 of the family's 1533-position model. The record is from RNAcentral.